This 480-nucleotide long non-coding RNA is filed under the name Mus caroli (Ryukyu mouse). RNAcentral's name for it is "predicted gene, 40190 (MGP_CAROLIEiJ_G0005721.1)". The record is from RNAcentral. Lineage: Eukaryota; Metazoa; Chordata; Mammalia; Rodentia; Muridae.
GCAGCUGUGCCCGGGGCUACGAGGCGAAGGCGGCGACCCAUCGCGGGUCCCCCGGGCUCUUCCCUGACGCCCGGACCUGCGGCUGCGAAUCAAAGCUGCUUGGAACCAGGUCUGCUCAGCUCUGAUGGCAAAGGACAGAGCCGAAGCAGUCAGAACUUUUCAUGAGAGGACUAUACAGGGUUCACACACCGCUUCUGUGUGCUUUCUUGCCCCUGUUUCCCAGACACCGAUCCCAUCAGGGUGAAGGGAAAGGAAGUGUCCAGAUGUCUGUCCGCCCAGAACUCCUCCUAACUUUACUCCUUUGGCAGCUUCUCUUGUUUUACCUUCUCUCUGUGGAAUAACCUCUAGAACAGGCUAACGUCAACCCCGGAACUCCCUGCUUAAAAAGCAUUUGGAUAAGUCAGUUGAAAUGCAUUUGAGUCUCAAGAAACAGAAGGCUCAGACAGUUGCCACCACUGUGAAGACUUGCUAUCUCACAUG